CAGUCGCCGCGGGAAUACGUAGGGUGCAAGCGUUAAUCGGAAUUACUGGGCGUAAAGCGUGCGCAGGCGGUGAUGUAAGACAGUUGUGAAAUCCCCGGGCUCAACCUGGGAACUGCAUCUGUGACUGCAUCGCUGGAGUGCGGCAGAGGGGGAUGGAAUUCCGCGUGUAGCAGUGAAAUGCGUAGAUAUGCGGAGGAACACCGAUGGCGAAGGCAAUCCCCUGGGCCUGUACUGACGCUCAUGCACGAAAGCGUGGGGAGCAAACAGGAUUAGAUACCCCCGUAGUCCCUGUCUCUUAUAC
This 301-nucleotide ribosomal RNA is filed under the name uncultured bacterium. Its description in RNAcentral is "partial 16S ribosomal RNA". It matches the Rfam family "Bacterial small subunit ribosomal RNA", at positions 509 to 807 of the family's 1533-position model. The record is from RNAcentral.